Molecule: non-coding RNA, 368 nt
Organism: Picea glauca (white spruce)
Lineage: Eukaryota; Viridiplantae; Streptophyta; Pinopsida; Pinales; Pinaceae
Source: Rfam
AAUCACCUAACCUAGACCUUGAAUCUAAACCCCCUAACCUUCUAAGUCAUCGACCCAUAACCCUUCUAAAGAUGCAAUGUGAUUUAUUCCCAUUGCCAUGCAUGUGAAAGUGAAGAAAUUCAACCAAGCACAUGUAAACGACUAGAGUAACUAUGAUUGUAUUAAGGUAGUCAGAUGUCUCGUCAUCUAAUUAGUGACGUGCAAGAAUGGAUCAUUAAUGAGAUUCCCCAUUGUCCCUAGUUACUAUAUUCUAGAGAAACCACAUCCAAGGGAAUGGGCUUGGCAGAAUUAGCGGGGAAAGAAGACCCACAUGUUGAGCUUGACUCUAGUCCUAACCCAUUCAUAGUUUGGGAAAAUUAGGGCAUAGU